This 497-nucleotide ribosomal RNA is filed under the name uncultured bacterium. Its description in RNAcentral is "partial 16S ribosomal RNA". It matches the Rfam family "Bacterial small subunit ribosomal RNA", at positions 28 to 507 of the family's 1533-position model. The record is from RNAcentral.
GAUGAACGCUGGCGGCGUGCCUAACACAUGCAAGUCGAGCGAACAGACCAGGAGCUUGUUCCUCUGACGCUAGCGGCGGAUGGGUGAGUAACACGUGGAUAACCUACCUAUAAGACUGGGAUACCUCCGGGAAACCGGAGCUAAUACCGGAUAAUAUACUGAACCGCAUGGUUCAAUAGUGAAAGACGGCUUUGCUGUCACCUAUAGAUGGAUCCGCGCUGCAUUAGCUAGUUGGUAAGGUAACGGCUUACCAAGGCAACGAUGCGUAGCCGACCUGAGAGAGUGAUCGGCCGCACUGGAACUGAGACACGGUCCAGACUCCUACGGGAGGCAGCAGUAGGGAAUCUUCCGCAAUGGGCGAAAGCCUGACGGAGCAACGCCACGUGAGUGAUGAAGGUCUUCGGAUCGUAAAGCUCUGUUAUUAGGGAAGAACAAAUGUGUAAGUAACUAUGCACGUCUUGACGGUACCUAGUCAGAAAGCCACGGCUAACUGCGUG